UUGGGCAUUAUUCAGCCUUAGCGAAUCCACAUGCUGCUGAGAGGACUUCCAGUGUAAGUAAAAAGGCAGAAACUUUGGCAUCACUACAGCCUGACCCCAGGGUCAGUAUCAGUAGCAAUGGCGGAGUUAGAAUCGCUCUUCGGUAGUUUGGGCUGGGGCCUUGACGCAGGCGGAUCAGCCUGGCCAUCUUGGGGGGCGUCUGUGGAGCAGAGCUCCUGAGGCCUAAUGCGUCCUUUAGAAACGAAAUAGUAUCUGAGCAAGUUGCUGGUGGUGGAGUCACUUAAUUUGUUUGUCGGGUGAGUAGCUGUAGGUUUGAGAGGGGCUCCUCCCGGUUCCUCCGCCUCUUCUGUCUCCUGUGAUCUUCUUCCCCUGGUGGUCUCCCUGCGGGCGCACCUGUCAUCCUGAUCCGACCUGAGGAGCAGACUCCCUGUGAGACUUCUAUUUGUAUUUAGCUUUCUGAGAACCUAGUUUUAGGGAAAUUUUUACAGACACAAUGUAUUUAUGCUUCAGUGUGCGUGUUAUUUUAUUCCAACGUUCCUGAUAGUGGAAAACCGUAUUCCCACGCAAACUCAGAAUGCUAUAUUUUUAACAGCACUCCAGCAUUUUUCUUCAUAUAUCACCUUCACUGACUCCCCUGAGUCAUUGAGCGUCCAUACGUGUCCUUCACCACCCCCACCCCCAGCACCUGUGUCGGCAAAAGAAGUGAUGUGUGUGGGCGUGAAGCAGAGAAGCCAAACAGUGUGCCGUUUCUGUGAGCGGUGAAGACACAGCUGUCUGCUGCUGCCCCUUGUCGCCUUCUGUGUAUAGUCCGUCAUCUGCUCUGCCAACGACAAAUCCCUUUUCAAGUCCUGUCUUGUUUCCCAACUUAAUUAAAUAGGUAAAAAGUCUUUUUAAGUAGGGGCUAUUAUUUUUAUAUUCACUUAUGUCCCAGAUUCU
RNAcentral lists this long non-coding RNA (936 nucleotides) under Suricata suricatta (meerkat). RNAcentral describes it as "lncRNA (ENSSSUG00005003354.1)". The record is from RNAcentral. Lineage: Eukaryota; Metazoa; Chordata; Mammalia; Carnivora; Herpestidae.